RNAcentral lists this ribosomal RNA (253 nucleotides) under uncultured bacterium. RNAcentral's name for it is "partial 16S ribosomal RNA". It matches the Rfam family "Bacterial small subunit ribosomal RNA", at positions 524 to 776 of the family's 1533-position model. The record is from RNAcentral.
UACGUAGGGGGCAAGCGUUGUCCGGAUUUAUUGGGCGUAAAGAGCGUGUAGGCGGCCAAGCAGGUCCGCUGUGAAAACUCGAGGCUCAACCUCGAGACGUCGGUGGAAACCGUUUGGCUAGAGUCCGGGAGAGGAGAGUGGAAUUCCCGGUGUAGCGGUGAAAUGCGCAGAUAUCGGGAAGAACACCCGUGGCGAAGGCGGCUCUCUGGGACGGUACUGACGCUGAGACGCGAAAGCGUGGGGAGCGAACAGG